UGACAGUACUCCUACGGGGAGGCAGCAUGGGGGGAAUAUUGCACAAUGGGCGCAAGCCUGAUGCAGCCAUGCCGCGUGUGUGAAGAAGGCCUUCGGGUUGUAAAGCACUUUCAGUCGUGAGGAAGGUAGUGUAGUUAAUAGCUGCAUUAUUUGACGUUAGCGACAGAAGAAGCACCGGCUAACUCCGUGCCAGCAGCCGCGGUAAUACGGAGGGUGCGAGCGUUAAUCGGAAUUACUGGGCGUAAAGCGCAUGCAGGUGGUUUGUUAAGUCAGAUGUGAAAGCCCGGGGCUCAACCUCGGAAUAGCAUUUGAAACUGGCAGACUAGAGUACUGUAGAGGGGGGUAGGAAUUUCAGGUGUAGCGGUGAAAUGCGUAGAGAUCUGAAGGAAUACCGGUGGCGAAGGCGGCCCCCUGGACAGAUACUGACACUCAGAUGCGAAAGCGUGGGGAGCAAACAGGAUUAGAUACCCUGGUAG
Molecule: ribosomal RNA, 476 nt
Filed under: uncultured bacterium
Lineage: Bacteria
Description: bacterial SSU rRNA
Rfam family: Bacterial small subunit ribosomal RNA
Source: RNAcentral